Molecule: small nuclear RNA, 106 nt
Organism: Cervus hanglu yarkandensis (Yarkand deer)
Lineage: Eukaryota; Metazoa; Chordata; Mammalia; Artiodactyla; Cervidae
Source: Ensembl
GUCCUCUCUUCGGCAGCACAUAUACUAAACCUGGAAUGAUACAGAGAAGGUGAGCGUGGCACCGCACAAGGAUGACACUCACACUUGUGAGGCUUGUCUUCUGGCU